AGCUGGUCCAGGUGCAGUGGUGUUUACAACUAAUUGAUCACAACCUGUUACAGAUUCCUUUGUUCCUUCACUUGACUAGCCUUUA
This 85-nucleotide non-coding RNA is filed under the name Propithecus coquereli (Coquerel's sifaka). The record is from RNAcentral. Lineage: Eukaryota; Metazoa; Chordata; Mammalia; Primates; Indriidae.